GACGAACGCUGGCGGCGUGCCUAAUACAUGCAAGUAGAACGCUGAAGGAGGAGCUUGCUUCUCUGGAUGAGUUGCGAACGGGUGAGUAACGCGUAGGUAACCUGCCUGGUAGCGGGGGAUAACUAUUGGAAACGAUAGCUAAUACCGCAUAACAGUAGAUAUCGCAUGAUAUCUACUUGAAAGGUGCAAUUGCAUCACUACCAGAUGGACCUGCGUUGUAUUAGCUAGUUGGUGAGGUAACGGCUCACCAAGGCGACGAUACAUAGCCGACCUGAGAGGGUGAUCGGCCACACUGGGACUGAGACACGGCCCAGACUCCUACGGGAGGCAGCAGUAGGGAAUCUUCGGCAAUGGACGGAAGUCUGACCGAGCAACGCCGCGUGAGUGAAGAAGGUUUUCGGAUCGUAAAGCUCUGUUGUAAGAGAAGAACGAGUGUGAGAGUGGAAAGUUCACACUGUGACGGUACCUUACCAGAAAGGGACGGCUAACUACGU
Molecule: ribosomal RNA, 494 nt
Filed under: uncultured bacterium
Lineage: Bacteria
Description: partial 16S ribosomal RNA
Rfam family: Bacterial small subunit ribosomal RNA
Source: RNAcentral